GAAACCGUGUACGUACAAGCAGUGGGAGCACAGGUUUACCUGUGUGACUGCGUACCUUUUGUAUAAUGGGUCAGCGACUUAUAUUCUGUAGCAAGGUUAACCGCAUAGGGGAGCCGGAGGGAAACCGAGUCUUAAUUGGGCGUUAAGUUGCAGGGUAUAGACCCGAAACCCGGUGAUCUAGCCAUGGGCAGGUUGAAGGUUGGGUAACACUAACUGGAGGACCGAACCGACUAAUGUUGAAAAAUUAGCGGAUGACCUGUGGCUGGGGGUGAAAGGCCAAUCAAACCGGGAGAUAGCUGGUUCUCCCCGAAAGCUAUUUAGGUAGCGCCUCGUGAAUUCAUCUCCGGGGGUAGAGCACUGUUUCGGCCAGGGGGCCAUCCCGGCUUACCAAUCCGAUGCAAACUGCGAAUACCGGAGAAUGUUAUCACGGGAGACACACGGCGGGUGCUAACGUCCGUCGUGAAGAGGGAAACAACCCAGACCGCCAGCUAAGGUCCCAAAGUCAUGGUUAAGUGGGAAACGAUGUGGGAAGGCCCAGACAGCCAGGAUGUUGGCUUAGAAGCAGCCAUCAUUUAAAGAAAGCGUAAUAGCUCACUGGUCGAGUCGGCCUGCGCGGAAGAUGUAACGGGGCUAAACCAU
Molecule: ribosomal RNA, 639 nt
Filed under: Salmonella enterica subsp. houtenae
Lineage: Bacteria; Pseudomonadati; Pseudomonadota; Gammaproteobacteria; Enterobacterales; Enterobacteriaceae
Description: partial 23S ribosomal RNA
Rfam family: Bacterial large subunit ribosomal RNA
Source: RNAcentral